Non-coding RNA from Rhinolophus ferrumequinum (greater horseshoe bat), 74 nucleotides. The record is from the annotation of a RefSeq genome assembly. NCBI's taxonomy places the organism in Eukaryota, Metazoa, Chordata, Mammalia, Chiroptera, Rhinolophidae.
GGCUGGUUAGCUUAGUCGGUUAGAGCAUGGUGCUCUUAACAACAAGGUUGUGGGUUCGAUCCCCACAUGGGUUA